Molecule: ribosomal RNA, 465 nt
Filed under: uncultured bacterium
Lineage: Bacteria
Description: partial 16S ribosomal RNA
Rfam family: Bacterial small subunit ribosomal RNA
Source: RNAcentral
GACGAACGCUGGCGGCGUGCUUAACACAUGCAAGUCGAACGGAAAGGCCCUGCUUGCAGGGUACUCGAGUGGCGAACGGGUGAGUAACACGUGGGUGAUCUGCCCUGCACUUCGGGAUAAGCCUGGGAAACUGGGUCUAAUACCGGAUAGGAGCCAUUUUUAGUGUGAUGGUUGGAAAGUUUUUUCGGUGUAGGAUGAGCUCGCGGCCUAUCAGCUUGUUGGUGGGGUAAUGGCCUACCAAGGCGGCGACGGGUAGCCGGCCUGAGAGGGUGGACGGCCACAGUGGGACUGAGAUACGGACCAGACGCCUACGGGAGGCAGCAGUGGGGAAUAUUGCACAAUGGGAGCAAGCCUGAUGCAGCGACGCCGCGUGGGGGAUGACGGCCUUCGGGUUGUAAACUCCUUUCGCUAGGGACGAAGCUUUUUGUGACGGUACCUAGAUAAGAAGCACCGGCUAACUACGUG